This is a long non-coding RNA of Oncorhynchus kisutch (coho salmon), 2239 nucleotides long. RefSeq lists it as uncharacterized. The transcript is spliced from 3 exons. NCBI's taxonomy places the organism in Eukaryota, Metazoa, Chordata, Actinopteri, Salmoniformes, Salmonidae. The record is from RefSeq and is a predicted model, not a curated record.
UGUCAGGCUUAGAGUGUUUCCCAGCAGCCUUUCUGAUAGCAGUCCUCGUCGUGAUUGCUUCCCAGGAUCAGAGCAGCGAACGCCAAGAGCAGGCGGCUCAGCAUACCACACAUGCUGCGAGAUCAAAGGUCAUUCUUGGAAGCCUAGGAUUAUGAGGGAGCAUACACGGGACAGUAUCUCCCAGCACCACAAUGGAGACACGCUUGGUAGUCUCUCCUCUAGCGAGCAGUACCUCAUCAGCGAGUUGGAGUCGGCCCCAGUGGGAUGAGUCUCUGUGGUUAUCAUACACCAUCUAGUGGCUACAGCGGGUUAAAGGAGAUGCAGCAGGCCACUGUGACCCAGCACCUCUCGGUCUUCACGUUGCAGUGUGGAGAGGUGCCUCCAUUCAUGGAAAAGGAAUGAACAGAGCUGGUUGAGAAUGCACUGCCGAGCCCAACAUUACAGCCAGUUGCGGUAUUAUGUUCUGGGUUACAGUUGUAGCUCAGAAAAAAUGUGGACGUGGCUGUAGAAAACAAUUGUUUGGGAAAUAUUAUAAAUCACAAUAAUAGUUAUUCACCAUUAGGAUAAAAGUACAGUUAAUCACCUAAACGAUUCACAAUUAUUUAUUUAUUUUACAAAUACAUCAAAUUUCUCAUGCCAUGCAAUACCAUGUGCUAUUGAGAUUAUACUGAAUUCAUUUAGGACUCAAAUACAGACAUGAAAGGCAUAGAUUGUUGCUAUAGACACAGUAAUGAUGUACAUAUAGGCACUCAGUGAGCAUAACUCUCCUAUCCCCUCAGCCUGAUCACUGUAAUCCUAAUCUCAACAUGAGUUUACAGAAUUAUAGGUCACCUCGAGUUCAAAGGGGCAAAGGUGAUUGAGAUACUGUAUUAGUUGAGGAGAGGAAUACAAUGAUUCAGUAUAGUUUAAUGGUGUACGCAGAAUGUUGCCUACAGGUUCAAGGGGAAUGGUAUAAACAUGUCAAAUGAAUGUUAUAUUUAUCAUUUCAGAGGUGUUGAGAUAUGAGAUUCAGGUUGUCCAGUCUAGGUUGCUUUGAAGCAUGAUGUGUGAAUUGAAUGUGAUCUCUAAAAAGGAUACAGAGGAAUUGAGAUUUGAGCAGAAUGUGGUUCACAUUACAGAGACACGUUACAGAGAUAUAUAAGAAUGUGUGAAAGCAAUGCACUCGCAAUCCCCUCAUUUCACAAGCCUAUUAUCCAAUUGAAAACUGAUCCUCAGUGAACUCCCAUUGUGUGCCUCUCUCAAAGAAGAAAUGUACAAAAUAGAUCUCAAGUCUCAAAAGUGGAGGCUGUGGAGUUUGAGUUACAGAUGUGACCAUUAAAAAAAAAAAAUGUUUACUAAGAGUUCUUGCACAGAGACCCUGUGAGCCAGAAAGGCUCCACCUGUUUCAUAACCUUGUUGAGGCUGGAGCACCAUUUUAUCUGACUUCUCUGCCCUGAAUGAAAAUGUCUCAGUGUGACAAUGUCAAACAGGGUAUGCUAAUGAUUCAUCCCUGUACAGUAAGCAUUUCAUGGUAAAAGAGCCCCCACUUGGUGGAUCUCCUAAUGGGUUGUGACUUCUGCUGUCAACGGCUCAGCUACGUGCUCUCUUCCUGUAAUUUCCACCCAUCUUCACUGUUCACCGAUAUGCUUUCAAUAAGACGCGUUUACAAUAGUUUCUGUCAAAUCAGGAAUGGGAAAUCUAUGGUGUUUGUAACAGCAGCUUCAUAGAGUUUAUGGAUCAACUUUUAUAGGAGAACCUCUGGCUGAUAACUCAACAAACAUAUUCCCAUUUUAUGUCCCAUUUAUGUCACAUACUGGGAGGAGAAAUUAAAAAAGGUGUCACAGGACACCUCACUUUAUAGCUGAGAAAAAGAAAACUCUGCACUAUUUUUCAAAGGAUUUAUUUUAAUCAGGCCGGAACCUCCAUUCCAUUUGUUCCUCUGACUGGUGAUGCAAUCCCUGCAGUCCAAAACCCUCCAGUCAUUAAAUUGUUUUAACGUGACUGAAAGCACUUGUGCAAAUAAACAGACAGUUACAGUGGAUAGAAAGGUAUCCCUGUGUCCACGCAUGAACCAACAGUGACUAAUUCCAACUUGUGCCUUUUAUCUUGUUAAUCCCAUUGCAAUGCAGUUUGCAGGUCUUAGAAAAUACUUAUGAAUUACAUCUAAUAGGCUUCAAAUCAAGUACUAAUUAAAACUGCAUUAACCUUAAUGAAUCUGAAAAAUGGAGACCCCAAUUUAUUGGAGUUGUGUUUAUACAAC